CUUAACUUGAGUUUGGAUCCUUCAGCCUUGCAGAGUCCUGGGACCUUGGUCCAAGCCCUGGGUUAGCGCAAUUGCAGUGUAGACACAAAGGGAGUUAGGCU
This is a long non-coding RNA of Dermochelys coriacea (leatherback sea turtle), 101 nucleotides long. RefSeq lists it as uncharacterized. Lineage: Eukaryota; Metazoa; Chordata; Testudines; Dermochelyidae. The record is from RefSeq and is a predicted model, not a curated record. The transcript has 3 exons.